RNAcentral lists this long non-coding RNA (922 nucleotides) under Spirodela polyrhiza (greater duckweed). RNAcentral describes it as "long non-coding RNA (SPOL_LNC000535)". Lineage: Eukaryota; Viridiplantae; Streptophyta; Magnoliopsida; Alismatales; Araceae. The record is from RNAcentral.
GUCCGCCCAUCCUCCGAAUCCAACGCCUGCCAUGUCCAACAUCCCGCGAUCUCUCUGCGACUCCUCCCUCGCCCUCUUCUCCCUCGCCAUCUCCAGCUCCGAUCCUUGGCCCUUCUCCGCCGCCUUCUUCUCUCUCUAGCACACCCAGCCUGUAAAUCCUCUGUCUAUCUGACUGUCUGUCUGUCUGUCUCUGUCUCUCUCUCUCUCUCUACCUUUCUGUGCUUGGAAAAGCAAGGGUGAUGGGGAGCGGCGACAGCCACCUGCUGAGCGCGCUGCGCCACCACCUCCACAGCGGCGGCGGGAGCAGGAGGGAGAGCCAGAGCCAGGCGGCGCAUCAUGUUCCGAGGGGGUGCGUGGCGGUGAUGGUGGGGAGAGAAGGGGAGGAGGAACUGGAGCGCUUCGUGGUGCCGCUUUCCUACUUGGGCCACCCGCUGUUCGCGCCUCUGCUCCGGGAGGCGGCGGAGGAGUACGGCUUCCGCCACCCCGGCGCCGUCGCCCUCCCCUGCUCCCCCGCCGAGUUCCGCUCCGUCCGGGCCCUCGUCGACCGCGAACAGCUCCUCCUCUCCCAUCCCAACGGCGGCGCCGCCGGCCACCACCAUCUCCACCUUCCCCACCACCUGGUGGGCUGCUUCCGGGCAUGAUAAUCCGCCGCCAUGGCGGCGUUCCCGAUCGCGGGUCGUCCUCCGUUCUGUCCAAGAUCUCUCCUUUUUGUGAAACCCAUGCGUUCACGCCAAGAAUCGGAACACUUUAGGGUUUCGAUUUCUUCCAGAUGGUCAAACCCCGGCCGAUUGCUUCUCUCCGGAGAUCGGGGCGGGCCCAGCCGUGUUCGCCAGGCCAACUAGUUGGGCCACGGAAUGGUGUGAUCUUGUUUAUUUUAUUUAUGGAUUUAUUCAAAUAAAAAGGUUGAAACUUUGACGAGAAG